AAAAAAUGUAGGACAAAACUAGACAGUGUAUUAAAAAGCAGAGACAUCACUUUGCAAACAAAAUUCCACCUAGCCAAAGCUACGAUUUUUCAUUAGUCAUGUGUGGAUGUGAGAGUUGAACCAUAAAGAAGGCUGAGUGAUGUAUUGAUGCUUUCUAA
This is a long non-coding RNA of Cervus elaphus (red deer), 158 nucleotides long. RefSeq lists it as uncharacterized. NCBI's taxonomy places the organism in Eukaryota, Metazoa, Chordata, Mammalia, Artiodactyla, Cervidae. The transcript has 3 exons. The record is from RefSeq and is a predicted model, not a curated record.